This 305-nucleotide ribosomal RNA is filed under the name uncultured bacterium. Its description in RNAcentral is "bacterial SSU rRNA". It matches the Rfam family "Bacterial small subunit ribosomal RNA", at positions 336 to 656 of the family's 1533-position model. The record is from RNAcentral.
UUCCUACGGGAGGCAGCAGUGGGGAAUAUUGGGCAAUGGGCGCAAGCCUGACCCAGCAACGCCGCGUGAAGGAAGAAGGCUUUCGGGUUGUAAACUUCUUUUAAGAGGGAAGAGCAGAAGACGGUACCUCUUGAAUAAGCCACGGCUAACUACGUGCCAGCAGCCGCGGUAAUACGUAGGUGGCAAGCGUUGUCCGGAUUUACUGGGUGUAAAGGGCGUGCAGCCGGGAGUGCAAGUCAGAUGUGAAAGCCCGGGGCUCAACCCUGGGACUGCUCUGGAAACUGUAAAGCUGGAGUGCGGGAGGG